AGAGACAGCAGCCGCCGCGGGAAUACGUAGGGUGCAAGCGUUAAUCGGAAUUACUGGGCGUAAAGCGUGCGCAGGCGGUUAUAUAAGACAGAUGUGAAAUCCCCGGGCUCAACCUGGGAACUGCAUUUGUGACUGUAUAGCUAGAGUACGGCAGAGGGGGAUGGAAUUCCGCGUGUAGCAGUGAAAUGCGUAGAUAUGCGGAGGAACACCGAUGGCGAAGGCAAUCCCCUGGGCCUGUACUGACGCUCAUGCACGAAAGCGUGGGGAGCAAACAGGAUUAGAUACCCCUGUAGUCCCUGUCUCUUAUAC
Molecule: ribosomal RNA, 309 nt
Filed under: uncultured bacterium
Lineage: Bacteria
Description: partial 16S ribosomal RNA
Rfam family: Bacterial small subunit ribosomal RNA
Source: RNAcentral